Molecule: RNA transcript, 6347 nt
Organism: Galleria mellonella (greater wax moth)
Lineage: Eukaryota; Metazoa; Arthropoda; Insecta; Lepidoptera; Pyralidae
Exons: 4
Source: RefSeq, a predicted model, not a curated record
UUUAAUCUAAUAAUAGACCAGCUCAUGCCAACGCCUGCCUCAGUGUUUCUAUCCGCUCGCUUCUGACCACCAUAUGGUAUGGUGGAAUCGGAUCAAGUCUAAUACAGUUAUAAUAAUAUUUUUUUUUUAUACAACUUAGAAUGGCAUACAAGAUGACGGCCCACCUGAUGGAAAGUGGCAGCUGUCACCUGUAGACAUGAGCAGUACCAUGGACAUAAGACUAUACUGUUUCACCCAUGAUACCCCUAUGCGUUGCCACUCCUGAGGACUCAGGUGUUAUUCCUCUGUACCUAGUAAAUUCACGCCAUAUCCCACCUUUCAAACCGAAACACUUGGCAUUAAUAACAAUUUAAAAGAAGUAAUGGAUUAAUUUAGAUAGGUAAAUAGUUUAUUUGCAUUACUUACAGCACACAAACAGUAAAAGACACAAAUGCAAAGUGAAAAAAGAUAAAAAAAGAUACAUGUAUAAAAGAUUAAAAAAAAAAAACAAAAACAAAACAAGAAUGCAUAAAAUUUUUAACAAUUUUUUUUCUUCACGCGUGUGCCACAGUAAUACAAAAUGGCCACAACUCGGCUUUUUGCUUUGCCCUAAAAAGAGCAAAACGCUGAUAUUCUGUUGUGGCCAAAAGUGAUCUGUGAAAUGUAACUAAAAAAAAAAAUUAUAAAAAUAAAAUAAAGAUCAAAUGCAUAGUGUGCGUUCGUUUUUAGGUAUUGUAUGUAUUUACUCUCCGAUACGUAAGACCUAUACCCAGAUGACGUCACUAUACAAGACAAUUCUUCAAGUGUUUCAGUCCAGCUUCGCAUGAGUGGAUAGAAUACAUACAUACAUAUAAUACAGCUUAUGUUUCUUGCUGAUAAUCGCUUUCUUUAAGUGUCUGUAAAAAUAAAAAAAAAAAAUAUCUUUCCUCAUUAAAAUUUUACUAUACAUUCUAUGCCAUAUACAGGGUGGAAGGGAGAGCUUGGCAAAAACUAAAACAGUGCACUCAGAUCGUUAUGCUGAAAUGAAAAUCAGUAAAAAUUUGUUCUGAUCAAUUUAAAAUAUAUUUUCCACUUUUUUUUUUCAUUUAAAAUCAUGUAAUCUAUAUAAAGGGGGGAAAGGGAUUGUUAGUGAUGAAGACUAAGAAUCCCAUUGCUAGCAAUAUACCCAACCAGGUCGACCUCCUCGCGGUUCCCCCUGGAAACUAUCAUGGUUAAUUCCUGAUGAAUUCAUCAUGAUGGGCUAACUGGCCUGUUUUCAUUCUCACCUAUCACCCUUCACUGGUGCUCCGCCAGCGUAUCCCGUUAGCGUAGGCGGGGUUACUAUUUCAUUUUCACUCAUCAAAAAAGAAUCUAUAUAAAGAAAAAAUAGUAUUUUAUAGUGAAAUACCGUGAAAUACUCAAAAACAGCAAUGUAAUAUACGUAUUAAAAUUCUACCGCGUCGCGCGGAACCAGCUGUGUAAAGUCAACGCCACGAGCGUACGGAAACUACCUACGAGGAAGCAGCACUGAGCGCGCGUUGUAGGCAUCACGCGUCGCGUGGAUCGUACAGUUUCAAAUACAUUGCGCGUCAUCGAAACUAACAAUCGGUAAUUAUAUGGCUGCGGUGCAUUUCCGGUGGGAAAACAACCAGCCAUCUGAUUCAGACCAUUGAUCUGAAUCAGCUGUUUUCGGUUUCGCCAACCUGUCGCUUCUACCCUGUAUAUUUGACUUGUUUCUAUAUCAUAGACUACCUUAUUAUCGCAUAUGGGGUCAGCUAAGCUGUUGCACGUCGACCCAUACGGAUCUUUUGUGCUCCCCCCUGCCUUAUACCAUCAUUUCAUAGAUCCUAUGUGUUACCCUAACGAUAUCCUGCGGUUUAAGAUAUCUGUAGUCCCCUGGCUCUGGCUCUGGAUAAGCCGUUCCCAGUAGAAUACCAUAGACUAACUUGUGCUUGCAAUUUGUAGGUUGUAUAAAGUUCUAAGCUGUAUAAAAAAAAAAACGACCACUUCUAGAUGACUUUGUACAAAAGUCGAUUGCUUAGGUACCUCUGUCCUGUUCGUGUUUCAACUGUGAAGCAGUUGUGUUUGCAUGGCUGUGUUUCGGUUUGAAGGGUGGGAUAUGGCGUGAAUUGACUGGGUACAGAGGAAUAACACCUGAGUCCUCAGGAAUGGCAACGCAUGGGUGGUAUCAUGGGCGAAACAGUAUACUCUGUUAUGUCCAUGGUACUGCUCAUGUCUAUAGGCGACGGUUACCACUUUCCAUCAGGUAGGCCGUCAGCUUGUUUGCUAUUCUAAGUUGUAUAAAAAAAAGGAUGCGUAAAGUUCUUUUAAAAAAUCACUAUUGGACUUAUGUAAAAUGAAAUAAUGAAUUUCUUGAUUUCAUAGAUUCCACUGUCUUUCUUGGAAUCACUGUUGAUAAUAAAACUCAGCGGGGUCCUCGCAUUCAAAGCCUUGCAACUGAAUCAAGUUGUUGGGCGUAUGCUGCACGCCGGGUCAAACAGUAUACUAAUAUCGAGACUGCCGGAUUUGUUUAUUAUACUUGCUUUCAUAGUAUACUGUCCUAUGGAAUAUUAUGGAUUAUGGGGUAAAGCAGCCGACAUCCAAAGCAUAUUUGUAUUACUAAAACGUGCCAUUCGCGCGAUUUAUUCUACGGCAAGUCGUGAAUCAUUAAAAGAGAAAUUUAAGGAAGCAAACAUUCUUCACCGUAGCUUCAUAAUACAUAUAUUUUAUACGCUAACAUUUUGUACAUAAGCAGGCAUCUUAAACUGUUUCAUAAAAACAGCGAUCUGAAUAAUCUUAACACUAGAUACAAAUACAAACUUGCUGUUGCGAAGUGUCGUUUAGAUAAAAUUAAUAGGUCUUUUAUGGGAAUGGGCAUUAAAUAUUAUAAUAAGAUACCGAAGGAUAUUUUGGAUCUACCUUUUAAUAAGUUUAAAACUGUUAUUAAAAACACUUAUUGAACAAAGCCAAUAAAAACAAUACACUAAACGAUCACUUGAAUGACAAACGUGCAUGGUGUUAGAUCAUGCAUGGGCUUUUAACGACAUAACAAAGUACAUUUGGGGGAGAAGGGAUUGUUAGUAAUGCGGAUUAUCAUUUCCAUUGCUAAUAAUAUACCCUAACAGGUCGACCUCCCCGUGGUCUCCCCUGGAAACCAUCGUGUUGAAUUCCAAGUGUAUUCAUCACGAUGGGCUAACUGACCUGCCUUUUCAUCCUCACCUAUCAUCUAUCACUGGUACUCCGUCAGCGUAUACCGUUAGCGCAGGCGGGGUUAUCAUUCCAUUAUCAUCCAUUAAAAAAAAAAACAGUACAUUUACAUAAAUAUAUGUGUACUUACAUAUAAUAUACAUAUGUUAACAUAGACUUAAAAUAAAGUAACGCUUGAAUUCCAUGUGGGGUCUUCUCAGCAGAUAACAAUUUUACGAAUCUUGCAGUACAUUAAAAAAAAAAUGACGAUUUAAAAGUGUUUGUAAACAAGUGUAUUUGCAUAAAGAUAAUUUGAAUUAAAAUAAAUAUAAAAGUUGUAAUUAUUGGAAAAAUUAAAUGCGGGGGUGGAGAGGUCAUGCCCUUGCGUGUUCAUCAUCAAACAAGACUGAUGGUGGAUAGUAAUGACCUCCCGCGUGUUUGUGCCGUGCGCGGAGACCCGUACGGAGGGAUGAAGGAGUCCUGGAGAUUGAGUGCAGCAGUGUGCCGGCGGUAGUUGUACGCUGCUCACAACACAUCUCUUCGGUCCGGAUUUCCUCUCAAACGGGCGGUCGUGGAGUAGCUAACCACGAUCAAUCGGCUGCGACAUCCCAUAAGCGGGCUGUCAAGCGAGGAUUGGCGAUUUGGGGAGGGGCAGUCGGCGCGGCACGGCGUCUUGAGGUAGGCCUAUGGUAUUGUCUCGUAUUGUAGGUAUCCUCUUGAUGCUUUGCUGCGUGCAGGUUCGCCUUCCUCUCAAAUUGCUGGGCCUAUACCGAGGGAGUAGCUCUGGCGAUCAUUCGUAGAACGAAUGACGUCCCCGAUGUGAGGGCUCCGUGGCGGGUGGAGAGCUCCUGAGGCGAAUAAAAUACAUACAACCUUAUGGAUUAUGAGACGAAUAAUCAAUCAACUGAACCAACAACACAGGCUGCGUCUUGGAAUGCGCCUAUACAUGCAGUACAAAGGGCUGCGUCUCAGGAUGCGCCGAACCUCCAGCCGCUCUUGGCUGCGUCCGAGGAUACGAUGAGGAAGGUAUGGAAUGCGCCAACCCGGGCAGCGUUUCAAAAUGCACCAUCCAUGUCGACGUCCAAGGAUGCGCCUUGUAAAGCAGCUCCCUCUGUUCAACCAAGGACGGCUAUCACAACGGUAGUACCGAGGAAGGACGCACUCCGAGAUGCGCCAACUAAGGCUGCGUCAGAGGAAGUGUCCUCCAAGGGAAAAUCAGUGGUGCUGACCGAGGUUGUAGCGGAGGAUCAACCUUCAGCGUCUGUGUUGGAAGCUGAAGCAGACAAUUCAACGAUGGGUAUGUUGUCUCUUGUAGAUGCCAAACAAUCAUCAUCGAAUCCAAUUCGGAAAUCGAUAACCAAACCGAUGUCGGCCUCAAUGAAGCGGCGUCUUAAAGCCAAGGCGAAGGCAGCAGCACAAUGCGUAGUAACAACAGAUGCUGCGAGGCAGAUCGCUGAGCCGAGCUCUCGCCCAGUGGAAACUGAACCAAUAUGGGAGGUAACAGUGGGCGAGACCCCACCACCUGCGGUUGUCGGUGUGAGUGCUGCGCUUUCCACAGGUAUAAACAAGCGCAGCAUGAAACCGAGAGGUCAGAAAAAAUCAUCUAACGACCAAUCAAAAUCUGAGCCGAGGGCGCAGAAACGUACAUGGCUAGGGAAUUCCGUUACAUCGACCGGAGUGCGUAAAAAACCCAAAAUAAAAAAAUCCCGGACCGUGAAAGGAACUGCUGCAUCGUACGUUGAAGCGGCCGCAACCUUCAUAACUAAUGACCUUUGCAUUGCUGUCAUGACCCAACCUUUCGCUGACAUGACGCAAGGUCAAGCUGAAGGUAUUCGGCAAGAAAUAGAAGCGAGGCUUCUGGAUGAGCUUAUGGCAGAGCCUGAUACAUCUCUUGAAACGGAACCAAACGACAUAAGAUUUCGAGGCAGAGCACACUUUUCGGAUGGUGUUCUCAAAGCCUGGUGUGAGGAUGCCUUUACGCUAGCCUGGCUAAAUCGGACCGUCCAAAACAUGGCUUCACCGAUAACUAACACAAAAUUAGUUGUGAAACCACAAUCAGCUAUCCCGAAGAAGAUACCGUGUCUGCUUUUUGUCCCAGGAUACACUGGCGAUUCAGCAGCACUACGAAAACUCCUGGCGCGGCAAAAUCGUAACCUAAAUAUUAACUCCUGGACACUGACACACGAGAAGGUUAGACCGGAUCCACCAGGAAUCUGUCUAUUCUUCCGGGUGACGGAAAUGGAUGCUAAUUUGUUAAAAGCCCAGGAAAGAAGACUGUAUUACCUUUUGGGAAACAUAUAUAUCCGAUUCCUGGAUAAAGAUACUUUACUACAACCCAAUACAAAUCCCACGCAAUACCCGGAGGAAACGCAGGCGUCAAUGCAGAGCGCAGCACCUAAGUCGACAUUAUCGACAAAUGAAGCUGCGAGUGUUAUGGAACACGUGGAAUCCUCGUCUGCGAUAGAGGUGCAAAAUUUGCCUCCUUACAGAUUUAUCUCUGAUGAAGAAUGUUUUCUGGCAGGGGAAGGAGAAUGCGAAACCAACGAUGGUGUCUACUCCUUCCCUCUCCGGGAAGACUAAAAUCAUACAAAAUAACCUCCAGCACUGUCAAUCUGCGACGGUCUCUCUACGCAGAGUGCUGGAAAACAACACACAUACCAUAUCCUUGAUCCAAGAGCCGUGGAUCAGGAAUAUUUAGACAUGUGGUCUUGGAAACAGCGGAAGAAAACUACUCCUGAACACCUCCGGACCUGAUAGUAGUUAGAUUAACUAGGACAGAACAGUAUCUCCGAGAUCGUCCUUGCUUCCGCAUACCUGCCGAGCGACGAGGAUGUACCAACAUCAGAGCCCAACUAACUAGUCGAGUUUUGUGAGCUGGAUCUGAUCAUCGUUAUCGCCUCCAACGCGCAGCGAAUUCUGGGGUAACGGCAAAUCCAACAACAGAGGUGAACAAAAAGGGUAAAAAAUCGACGAUAAAUUAUGACUAUUUAUUGAAAAUAGUUGAAGAACAAAGUCAUUAUGCAUCUACUGAUGUGUUGACGAUAAAUAUCGACGUCGAAGUGUGCACCAGAAACAGACUGCAGCGCCCCCACACAGGAUACGCCAGCACUAGUGCCAAUAGAACGCUUGCUAGAGAAACGAACGCCAGUACAACCAGCACCCAGCGAUCUGGAGUCGACCUGUGUACUGUCAAAUAGGCAAUC